GAUGAACGCUGGCGGCGUGCUUAACACAUGCAAGUCGAACGGAAAGGCUCCUGCUUGCAGGGGUACUCGAGUGGCGAACUGGUGAGUAACACGUGGGUGAUCUGCCCUGCACUUCGGGAUAAGCCUGGGAAACUGGUUCUAAUACCGGAUAGGACGAUGGGUUGGAUGCCAUUGUGGAAAGUUUUUCGGUGUGGGUUGAGCUCGCGGCCUAUCAGCUUGUUGGUGGGGUAAUGGCCUACCAAGCCGCCGACGGGUAGCCGGCCUGAGAGGGUGUACGGCCACAUUGGGACUGAGAUACGGCCCAGACUCCUACGGGAGGCAGCAGUGGAGAAUAUUGCACAAUGGGCGCAAGCCUGAUGCGGCGACGCCGCGUGGGGGAUGACGGCCUUCGGGUUGUAAACUCCUUUCGCUAGGGACGAAGCGCAAGUGACGGUACCUGGAGAAGAAGCACCGGCUAACUACGUG
RNAcentral lists this ribosomal RNA (465 nucleotides) under uncultured bacterium. RNAcentral describes it as "partial 16S ribosomal RNA". It matches the Rfam family "Bacterial small subunit ribosomal RNA", at positions 28 to 507 of the family's 1533-position model. The record is from RNAcentral.